CCUACGGGUGGCAGCAGUGGGGAAUAUUGGACAAUGGGCGAAAGCCUGAUCCAGCCAUGCCGCGUGUGUGAAGAAGGCCUUCGGGUUGUAAAGCACUUUCAGUGGGGAAGAAAGCCUUGGGGCUAAUACCCUCGAGGAAGGACAUCACCCACAGAAGAAGCACCGGCUAACCCCGUGCCAGCAGCCGCGGUAAUACGGAGGGUGCGAGCGUUAAUCGGAAUUACUGGGCGUAAAGCGCGCGUAGGCGGUCUGAUAAGCCGGUUGUGAAAGCCCCGGGCUCAACCUGGGAACGGCAUCCGGAACUGUCAGGCUAGAGUGCAGGAGAGGAAGGUAGAAUUCCCGGUGUAGCGGUGAAAUGCGUAGAGAUCGGGAGGAAUACCAGUGGCGAAGGCGGCCUUCUGGACUGACACUGACGCUGAGGUGCGAAAGCGUGGGUAGCAAACAGGAUUAGAUACCCGUGUAGUC
This 465-nucleotide ribosomal RNA is filed under the name Vreelandella stevensii. RNAcentral's name for it is "partial 16S ribosomal RNA". It matches the Rfam family "Bacterial small subunit ribosomal RNA", at positions 338 to 795 of the family's 1533-position model. The record is from RNAcentral. Lineage: Bacteria; Pseudomonadati; Pseudomonadota; Gammaproteobacteria; Oceanospirillales; Halomonadaceae.